CAGGGAGACAACAAAAUGUUUAAUAUUAAUUUUGUCACCUUAGGUCGAUCGGUAUCUCACAUUCUUAAUUUAUUAAGAAUUUUAUUUCCUAAGUUUUUUUCUAGGUCACACCCAUUACUUUUCCUGGGCCAUUAGCUCAGGUGGUUAGAGCGCACCCCUGAUAAGGGUGAGGUCCCUGGUUCAAGUCCAGGAUGGCCCAUAUCUCUAUGUUGGGGGUAUAGCUCAGUUGGUAGAGCGCCUGCUUUGCAAGCAGGAUGUCAGCGGUUCGAGUCCGCUUACCUCCACUGAUCACCACCUCUUCCAUAACUUGCAAAGGAAACUGUUUUGAGUUGUGAUCAAAUUCUGAACGAAUCUAGCUUCCUAAUAAAUUUGAUUAAGAUGCUGGACUCAUUGAAUUAAUUUUCAUUGUUUUCAGAGAACCUUGACAACUGCAUAGAUUAUUUUUAAAGACAAUAAGCAUCUUUAAUGAUGCAGAUUUAUUAUUUGUGCAAAUGCAUUAGUAACAAUUCUAUUAAGCUGAUGCUUCAAUUUUGAAGUUAUU
RNAcentral lists this transfer RNA (541 nucleotides) under uncultured cyanobacterium. RNAcentral describes it as "partial 16S-23S ribosomal RNA intergenic spacer". The stretch from base 212 to 284 matches the Rfam family "tRNA". Lineage: Bacteria; Bacillati; Cyanobacteriota. The record is from RNAcentral.